UCAUUCAUGCUUUCUAUUGCUUGAUUAUUUAACAUGUUCAUACUCCCAUGCAUUGUUUAAAUGCUCCAUUAUUUGAUUCUUUGGUUUGAUUAUAUAUUGUUUAUUUAUCCGAUCUGAUUGAUAACUGUUGCCUACUUGUAUGAUGUAUGAGGCAUAUAUUCUUAUUGUUUGUUUGCCAUGAACAAUCCCCAUUCAUAACAAAUGUACCCCUCUCCCAUAAAGUGUAUAAUAUUUAUUUCUUUAUUUCUUUAGUCACCUGUUAGUACAAGAAUUAAAACGAACAUCCG
Molecule: long non-coding RNA, 287 nt
Filed under: Lathyrus oleraceus (garden pea)
Lineage: Eukaryota; Viridiplantae; Streptophyta; Magnoliopsida; Fabales; Fabaceae
Description: Pisum sativum (pea) long non-coding RNA (PSAT_LNC039739)
Source: RNAcentral